GAAACCCUUAAAGACCCCAAAAAAACCGAUUAAAAAAAAACCGUACACCACCCCGGUCCUCCCCUCACUCUGUCUCUCUCUCUCUCCCCUGCUCUUUCUUCCUUCUUCUCUCUCAUAGCCACUCCACGCCUCACCGCCUUCCUCUCACCUACUGCCGCCAUCGCGACGGUCACCUCUUCAUUCACGGCGCCACUGCCGCCGGCCCAUUUCCUUCAUUCAACCACCACCGCACUACUUUCCGGCAAAGCCUCUUCACGGAUAGUCAUCAUGUCGCCACAGCGGUGCCGGUCCCUCGCCCAGUGCCCACCCACUGCCACCUCCAUCUUCGCCACCGUGGCAGCCUCCAGCCACGUCACCACUGCCUUGUUCUUCAUCAUAGGAAGAAAUAUUUGGGCAAGUCUUGACAGAAUUGGAUUUUGGACUUCUUUCGGGCCAAAUCUUUGAAGUCUCUCCAAUGGAUAGGAGAGAGCAAUCAGCAGAGAAUUUGGAGUGGCUCGGAAGAGUCUAGACCAAGAUUCUCAACGGUUGACGGAGAAGACCAUGAAGUGAGUAUAUGAAAAAGGGCAUAGUUGAGAUGUCAGGAGAAAGAGAAGGAUAUUCGGGAGAAUAGGUGAGAGAGAAAAGAGGUAUCGGUUUUUCUCUCCUUCAGACAAGUGUCCGUCAAGCUUAAGGGCUUAAGAGGGGCUUAAGAGGGGAGAAGCACGGUUAGCUCCUUCUAUAUUAUAUUUUUUCUUUCAUAUAUUCUCAUGGAUCAAGGUACGUUUUCUCUUAAUUUUCUGUUGUGAAAAUCAUAUUGUUCUGUGAUCUUUGGUAUUAAGAUUUAUGUCAAAGCUGAGAGUUUUUAUUUUUUUGCAUGAUGAGAAUUUAAUAAAUUAUUAACAUUCGGUAUGAGAGCCCUGGUUUAAGAACUUAUGAUUUUUUUUAAAGAUUAUUAUUAUUAUUAUUAUGAUUUUUUUAAUAUAAAUAAAAAUUUCUUUCUGUUUUAUUUUUUUAUUAAAUAAAAUAAAUUUUAAACUAAAUAUUUCAAAUGAACUCUUAAACCACAUUCACUCUUUGUAAGUCAUUAAUUGGGUAUAUUUCUUUUUUAAAUAAUGUUAAUAUGGACAUGUGGUUAGUUAGUAUGCUUAGUUUGAUGUGUUUAGCAUAUUAAAAAAUACCAAAUAUGUCUGGUUGGUAUCACCUAAAGGAGAGCUUCAAUAUGCAUAUUAAUGUUUAAUGAAUUUUGUUUGAAUUUGAAUUAUGUGUUUAAGUUUAUAACUCAAAGCAUCAAUGCGUGAGCAUUCUACAUUUAUUGCAGUAUCGGUAUUUGUUUCUCUUCAUUCGCAAGCUUUGUCUAUUGUAAUGUUUAAUAAACUUAAUUUUCUUGAUUGGUGUGAACAAGUCCAGUUUCACUUGGUGUUUUGGAUCUUGAUUGGACACUCCAAAUUGAGAGUCCAGUUGUUAUUAUUGAUUUUAGUAGCGAUAACAGAGGUCUUUCCAUAAAGCUUGGGAAAUAUCAAACAAACUAAGCCUAGUGUUCAUGCAAAUGAUUGUAGUAAACAACAUAAGUCCACAAUUCCUAGAACUGAAAGUGCUAAGGAAUAUAUGAAGUUUGUGGAAGAACACUCUCAGUUUGGUGCUGCUAGUAAGUCACUUACUAGGACAUUAAUGAGUACUUUGACCAUCAUUAAGUUUGAUGGUUCAUGCACCAUGCUUCGGCAUAUCAUUGAGAUGAUAAACAUUAACAAAAAAAACUAAGGUCCAUGUGAUUGGAAGUAAGAAUUCCCUUGUGCAGUUCUUCAUUAACUCCUUGCCUGUUGAAUAUGGUCCCUUCCAAAUAAUUACAACACUAUUAGGGAUAAGUGAAAUGCGAAUGAGUUGCAAAGUAUGCUUAUUCAGGAGGAACCAAUACUUAAGAAGCAAGAAAUUCACUCAAUUGGUCUCAUGGGUCAGCAAGGAGUUGAAAAUAAACUUGAAAAGAAGAAUGGAAAGGGCAAAGAAGGAGCGUCAAAGAUAAAAGUGCAAUUUGUUGAUAUCUUAGAUCUAAGUAUUAGAAGCAAUACCAUUUUUUUUUUUUAAAUUGAUUUUUUAGGGUUAAAGAUCUAAACAUCAAAACCUUAAAUUCCAAGUGUUGAAGAUGACGUUGAAGUUGUUGGAAAUCUCGUAAACCCAAUGAUCUUCCACAUGAUGACUCAACCUUGUUCUUGGCACACUUUCAAUAGGGAGGAAAGGAGGGUGAAGGUUAUGACUCUCUAUCUCUCUCCAUGGUGGAAGACAAAAAUUAUAAAAACCCUUAACCCUUAGGGGGUAUUUAUAAGGUUCCUAAUUGGACUUAAGUGAUUUGAGUUCACAUGGGCCUAAGUCACUUAAUCUAGUUCAAAUUGGGUCCUAAUUGAUUAAUUAAUCCAAUAGGGUAUACUAAUUAAUUAAUUAAUUGUCCUAAUCCAAAGAUCUUGUUCAUUUACCUUUGUGCAAUCUUGCGUAAUUACCAAAACGCCCUUAUGUACAAAAUUGAACCUAGAGCCAAUUCGUCACUCAUAACCCGUGCCAACAAAGUAUAUGUGCUAGAGCGGGACCACUAGGACCUAUAGGAGUACUGACUCCCGAUGUUCAUGGAUCAAGGUAUGUAUUCUCUCGAUGUUCUAUUGUGAAAAUCAUAUUGUUCUAAGAUCUUCGAGUAUUAUGAUUUAUGCAAAAGCUAGAGUUUUUAUUAUUUUGCAUUAUAAGAAUUUAAUAAAUUGCUAACAUUAUAAAGCUUAAAAGCUCAAAAGGGUAAUAGUUCAAUACUCGUGUAAAACAAUGGACUAAAAUAUGACAUUUCCUUUGUCAAUUUUAUGUAUCAGAAGGGGUGAAAUUGGGUGGAUGCAAUUUUUUAAGAAUAAAUCAACAAAAAAUCGUUGAUCUAUCAAAACAAGUAACACAUAAUGCGUCACGUCUCAUUUUCAUGAUUUUAUUUAUUUAUUUAUUUAUUAAUCGAGGAACCUUUCAUAGCAAAACCCUUAGGACUCUCCAUAGGGACCCAAACUUCGGAGUGCUGAUUGCCCCACAACAACCCAUACCGGGUAAAUUCAAGGUAUCAUCAAUGACAAGAUUCGAACUAGAAUUCGUGAUAUAUCAAGCGUUAAGUAAAAAAAGUUAAAUUAUACCGUCCCUAAAGUGACAUAUCUCUAGAAAGAGAUAUCAAGCAAUAAAUUAAAAUGUGAAAUCAUACCAUUUUCAAUAAAUAGGUAUGUAAAUGAUUCAUUUUCUCUUACGAAUUAUUUAUAAUAAAAUAUUGAUUACACUUGAAAAUGCCUUAUUCAUUUUUUAUAAAGUACAAAAUCAAAACCUUUAAAAAUAAUUUAAAUUAUUAAUACUUAUGUAUCAAUGAUAAUAUUGAGAUGAUCAAAUAUAAAGAUAAAAAUAAUAUCUAAGUGGUUAAAAGUACACAAAAUUGUAAUUAUUUUUAGAUAUAUAUAGAUAUAUAUAUAAUUAAAUUUUAUAAGCUUUUAUAUAUUUUUUUUCCAUGAGUGCAUAUGAAAACACAUUUUUCCCUUUUUGUUUGUUUGUUUGUGUUUUUGUUUUGUUUUUUGUUUUUGUUUUGUUGUUUUGCUUUUUCUUGUGAUCUAGGUGUAAUUAUAGGUAGCAAUCCAUCUGGUAAUUCUUUUCAUUACCUCUUAACCUCUUAAGGGCGUUGGAUGUUGUUGGAUUUCUUUCCAAUGAAGUAAUCUAUCUAAUGGCCUAUAUUUUUUCUCAUUUUGUUUAGGUUUCAUGUGUUUUUGCCUCAUCCAUAUUUUUAUCCAAAUUUCUGUCUUAUAUGUACAUAAAAACCGGUUGCACUACCAUACUUGUUUUUGGCACGUGGUGCUGGCAACGAGACUUAACCCUUAAGUCACAGAUGAGCCUCCUCCCAAAAUGCGGCUUUUAUAAUGGGCCACGCUGCCCAAUGGAAGGCUGCUUCCGUCUUUCAAAUAUGAAAGAAGAAAAAGGAAAGUUCAGUGACUCUUAAGGCUCUCUGGUUUCCCAAGCCAAACUUUACAAAGUAUCCUCUUUAAAUGCUAGGCAGAGACGUAUGUGUAGGGCUGGUAUUUUUUACAGAGGAUUCAGAAUCCUGUAUUAAGAUUCAAUCCACCGGACAUGGUCCUAAAAGAUGUAGGCUCUUAAUUUGUCGCAGGGCAUAACAUACUAAAAUGAAUAGAUCCAAUUUUUUUAUAAAUCCAACGAAGUUCAAGGCUUCUUUUUAAUACAAUUGAUCGCGAAGAUAGAUUACUUUCUUUCUUGUCAACCAAACAAAUGAUACAACCAUUCCCGGAAGGAAAUUAAAAGGAAAACAAACUUCAAAGGGAAAAGAAAAACAGAGAGAUAAAGCAAGAAGCUAGACUUGAAGGUGAAAAACAAAAAACAAAAACAACACCAGUCAUGGAAUUAGUCGGCAUGUAUGUGAAUACCGACAGCAAUGAGCAAGAUGGUGAGAAUACAGAAGUAGAUGAUAGCGUGAACCAGAAUGGCAAUCCCACUGGUACACAUGUUCCCAAACUCCACCACCCUUGUCCUUGCCGGUAGCUGGAACAGCAGCCCUGGUGACAACAGAAUGAAUAGAACCACAGAAACAACCACUGGUCCCCAAUCAGCGCCCAUCUCUCUCUCUUAAGCAAUUGGGUAUAAUUCAAGCGGAGGAUGAGAACCCGAUAUCUGAUAUCUGAUUUUGCGUUUAGGUGGGAAAAGGAGAACCUCCCUCCCAAAUUUGUAGGGGAAUGGGUGGGACUAAUUUUCUUGGUGAAGAAGGAGAUGAACGAUGCCAAACUUCGGGACAAAGAAGACAGUAGAUUUGAAGGAGAGGAAAGGUAUGUUACGUAGUGGAUUUGCUUUAUGGAUAUGAAAAGCAGCACCUUUUUUUUACAUUAGCUUAAUAAUUGUUCACUUGAAGGGUUCUUUUUCCUUUGCUUUGGAGAUUGACGAAGGUGGGCAGGUCCCUUAAAAUAAUUUACAAAAUGGAGAAAUGGAAAAAGCAAGUUCAUGUGUGUAAAGGUGUUGCUCAUGCCAGGUGGUUUUGGAAUGCUUUCUUGUAUGGCUUGCCUCUUCCAUGAUAAGCUUAUUAAAGGUGUGCAUUAAUGGAUGUGGACUCCUGUGACUAAUGCGUUGAGGUACCAUGGCUUAAAGAACUUAGCAUUGAUCUUCAUAACAAGUAAAUUUUGCUCAAAAAAUAAACCAUGCAAAGAACCUCUACAUUCCAAAUGGACAAAAUUUGAACUACGUGAACUUAAAGCCUAAGACAGGUAGCCGUUUACAAUCUUCCACGUAAAUGUUGAUAGGUAACGAAAAUGGCGGGUUGACGAUAGUAAUUUCAAGAGGGAUUGGCUCGAAGUGUAGAUCUGGCCCACAAAAAGACCUUGCAAAGCCCAGGCCCAGUCCUGACUGGAUUGGUCUACCCAAAAUCCAACCAGGAUUCUGGACCCGGUUUGGAAGGUGCCUUGAGCCGUCCAAAAAGGGAUGAUGCCACGUUUGCCGCCCGGCAUGGGUAGCUGUCGAAGAGGCGUCGAAUCCAAUGCCACGCCCUCCUCGCCGGUUCUCUGACUUUUCUUCAGCCUCCCGGCUUCUCUUUGUCUCAUUCUCUCUCAAUUAUGUAUCUUCCCGUUUCUUUAACUCUGUUUCUCGGUGGUUUUGUUUGUUUCUCCAGUUCUCUCUACCGCAUGACCGCAACGACUAUAAAUCCGAGCGUUAUCAUCCUAUCUAUCUUUUACAGUUUAGUAUAGUUAUAUACUCUGGAUUUUGGUAGAUAGAGGGAGAGAUGGCGGACUGGGGACCGGUGGUGAUAGCGGUGGUACUGUUCGUGCUGUUGACGCCAGGGCUGUUGUUCCAGUUGCCUGGAAACAACCGUGUGGUAGAGUUCGGCAACAUGCAGACUAGCCGCAUCUCUAUCUUAGUCCACACCAUUAUCUACUUCGGCCUUAUCACCAUUUUCCUCAUCGCCAUUGGUGUUCACAUCUAUACCGGCUGAUAAUAGCCACCCAUGCCCACGCCACUCCUACUGGUUUCCUUGCCCUUUCUCUGGUUAGCCUUUGGUGGAAAACCCUUUUUGAAGGCAAGGUGCUCCACUCAUUUUGAUUCAUCCACAAUUCACUUCCUGGGAUUGGAAACCGGCCUAUAAAGAAUCGUCGUUACCAUACAAUCGUUAUUCCUUCUAAAUUUCUUAUUUGAUUUCAACUAUUGCCUCCUUAUUUUUGUACUUGCAAUUUAUUAUUAACCUGUGAAGCUUCCUGCUACUUGCUCCA
Long non-coding RNA from Vitis vinifera (wine grape), 6230 nucleotides. RefSeq lists it as uncharacterized. NCBI's taxonomy places the organism in Eukaryota, Viridiplantae, Streptophyta, Magnoliopsida, Vitales, Vitaceae. The transcript is spliced from 3 exons. The record is from RefSeq and is a predicted model, not a curated record.